GAUGAAGAACGCAGCGAAAUGCGAUACGUAAUGUGAAUUGCAGAAUUCAGUGAAUCAUCGAGUCUUUGAACGCACAUUGCGCCCUCUGGUAUUCCGGAGGGCAUGCCUGUCCGAGCGUCAUUGCUGCCCUCAAGCACGGCUUGUGUGUUGGGCCCCGCCCCCCGAUCCCGGGGGGCGGGCCCGAAAGGCAGCGGCGGCACCGCGUCCGGUCCUCGAGCGUAUGGGGCUUUGUCACCCGCUCUGUAGGCCCGGCCGGCGCCUGCCGAUCAACCAAACUUUUUUCCAGGUUGACCUCGGAUCAGGUAGGGAUACCCGCUGAACUUAAGCAUAUCAAAAGCGGAGGA
Molecule: unclassified non-coding RNA, 344 nt
Filed under: soil metagenome
Description: partial contains 5.8S ribosomal RNA, internal transcribed spacer 2, and large subunit ribosomal RNA
Rfam family: 5.8S ribosomal RNA (bases 1-120)
Source: RNAcentral